This 382-nucleotide ribosomal RNA is filed under the name Morganella morganii subsp. sibonii. RNAcentral describes it as "bacterial SSU rRNA". It matches the Rfam family "Bacterial small subunit ribosomal RNA", at positions 394 to 768 of the family's 1533-position model. Lineage: Bacteria; Pseudomonadati; Pseudomonadota; Gammaproteobacteria; Enterobacterales; Morganellaceae. The record is from RNAcentral.
CUGCCGCGUGUAUGAAGAAGGCCUUCGGGUUGUAAAGUACUUUCAGUCGGGAGGAAGGUGGUAAGGUUAAUAACCUUAUCAAUUGACGUUACCGACAGAAGAAGCACCGGCUAACUCCGUGCCAGCAGCCGCGGUAAUACGGAGGGUGCAAGCGUUAAUCGGAAUUACUGGGCGUAAAGCGCACGCAGGCGGUUGAUUGAGUCAGAUGUGAAAUCCCCGGGCUUAACCCGGGAAUUGCAUUUGAUACUGGUCAGCUAGAGUCUUGUAGAGGGGGGUAGAAUUCCAUGUGUAGCGGUGAAAUGCGUAGAGAUGUGGAGGAAUACCGGUGGCGAAGGCGGCCCCCUGGACAAAGACUGACGCUCAGGUGCGAAAGCGUGGGGGA